This 329-nucleotide ribosomal RNA is filed under the name uncultured eukaryote. Its description in RNAcentral is "partial 18S ribosomal RNA". It matches the Rfam family "Eukaryotic small subunit ribosomal RNA", at positions 1470 to 1796 of the family's 1831-position model. The record is from RNAcentral.
CCCUUAGAUGUUCUGGGCCGCACGCGCGCUACACUGAUGCAUUCAACGAGUCUAAAACCUGCUCUGAUAGGGGUGGGUAAUCUUUUGAAUGUGCAUCGUGAUUGGGAUAGAUGAUUGCAAUUUUUCAUCUUCAACGACGAAUGCCUAGUAAACGCAAGUCAUCAGCUUGCAUUGAUUACGUCCCUGCCCUUUGUACACACCGCCCGUCGCUCCUACCGAUUGAAUGAUCCGAUGAAUAUCAUGGAUUGAGGAUGCAAGCAGGUUCGCCUGUCUUCAUCUUCGAGAAGUGAAGUAAAUCUUAUCAUUUAGAGGAAGGAGAAGUCGUAACA